UACAGAGGUCUCGAGCGUUGUUCGGAUUCAUUGGGCGUAAAGGGUGCGUAGGCGGCGAGGUAAGUCGGAUGUGAAAUCCCGGGGCUCAACCCCGGAACUGCAUUCGAUACUGCCCCGCUUGAGGACUGGAGAGGAGACUGGAAUUCACGGUGUAGCAGUGAUAUGCGUAGAUAUCGUGAGGAAGACCGGUGGCGAAGGCGGGUCUCUGGACAGUUCCUGACGCUGAGGCACGAAGGCUAGGGUAGCGAAAGGG
Molecule: ribosomal RNA, 253 nt
Filed under: uncultured bacterium
Lineage: Bacteria
Description: partial 16S ribosomal RNA
Rfam family: Bacterial small subunit ribosomal RNA
Source: RNAcentral